Long non-coding RNA from Daphnia magna, 222 nucleotides. RefSeq lists it as uncharacterized. Lineage: Eukaryota; Metazoa; Arthropoda; Branchiopoda; Diplostraca; Daphniidae. The record is from RefSeq and is a predicted model, not a curated record. The transcript has 2 exons.
AAAAACAGGAAUUUAUCCAUUCAACAGAGAUGUUAUUCCGGACACACGCUAUGCCCCAGCAAGUGUAACCGACCAGCCAGAAAUUGAACAACAUGCUACUUCCGACAAUGUAACUGAACCCAGGAUGACGCAAGAUGUUAUUUCACACCCGGAUGGUGUAUUCGAAUUAGAAGAGACAAGAGAAGAAGUGCAAAUUAGUGGAGAUCCUGCAACUCCGACGAU